GAUGAACGCUGGCGGCGUGCCUAAUACAUGCAAGUCGAGCGAACGGACGAGAAGCUUGCUUUUCUGAUGUUGGCGGCGGACGGGUGAGUAACACGUGGAUAACCUACCUAUAAGACUGGGAUAACUUCGGGAAACCGGAGCUAAUACCGGAUAAUAUUUUGAACCGCAUGGUUCAAAAGUGAAAGACGGUCUUGCUGUCACUUAUAGAUGGAUCCGCGCUGCAUUAGCUAGUUGGUAAGGUAACGGCUUACCAAGGCAACGAUGCAUAGCCGACCUGAGAGGGUGAUCGGCCACACUGGAACUGAGACACGGUCCAGACUCCUACGGGAGGCAGCAGUAGGGAAUCUUCCGCAAUGGGCGAAAGCCUGACGGAGCAACGCCGCGUGAGUGAUGAAGGUCUUCGGAUCGUAAAACCCUGUUAUUAGGGAAGAACAUAUGUGUAAGUAACUGUGCACAUCUUGACGGUACCUAAUCAGAAAGCCACGGCUAACUACGUG
Molecule: ribosomal RNA, 497 nt
Filed under: uncultured bacterium
Lineage: Bacteria
Description: partial 16S ribosomal RNA
Rfam family: Bacterial small subunit ribosomal RNA
Source: RNAcentral